RNAcentral lists this ribosomal RNA (253 nucleotides) under uncultured bacterium. RNAcentral describes it as "partial 16S ribosomal RNA". It matches the Rfam family "Bacterial small subunit ribosomal RNA", at positions 524 to 776 of the family's 1533-position model. The record is from RNAcentral.
UACGGAGGGAGCUAGCGUUGUUCGGAAAUACUGGGCGUAAAGCGCACGUAGGCGGCGCAGCAAGUCAGGGGUGAAAUCCCGGGGCUCAACCCCGGAACUGCCCUUGAAACUGCAGUGCUAGAAUUCUGGAGAGGCGAGUGGAAUUCCGAGUGUAGAGGUGAAAUUCGUAGAUAUUCGGAAGAACACCAGUGGCGAAGGCGGCAUCCUGGACCAAUAUUGACGCUGAGGAGCGAAAGCCAGGGGAGCAAACGGG